Molecule: long non-coding RNA, 947 nt
Filed under: Olea europaea subsp. europaea
Lineage: Eukaryota; Viridiplantae; Streptophyta; Magnoliopsida; Lamiales; Oleaceae
Source: RNAcentral
UUCGUCGAAAAGAGUAGAAAAGCUCGAGGAUCAAUUUGACUCAAUCAAUUAUAGGCAGGACUAAUAGGCCAAGUCGAGCUUGGCCCUUAUGGUCAACAAGCCAAAGCACGGAUGACUAGUCUAUGAGCUAGCUCGGAUUGAAUUAUUGUCACCCCUAAUAGUAGCCCCAGAAAAUGAAGUAACCAGAAAGUGAUUAGAUGAUAUUUUUCACAAUUUGUUUUAUCACGUUUAUCAUGCAUUCGAAUAGAGGUACACAUCACAAUCCAACUAGCAGAAUGGAAGGAAUAAUAACACUGGCUACAAGUCAAAUAUCAACUUACCACACCAACUCUUAAUUGCUAAAAUCUUUAACCCCUCCCAUUUUAUUUGUUACUUACCAAAAUUAAAAUCCAUUUCUUCUUUGAUUUUCACUACUCAAUUUCUCGAGCAUGCAACAUGUUUAAAUAGCGUUUGUUCUAUUAGUUUUUAAUGCUCUUCAUUGUGAAAAUAAUAAUAAUAAUAAUAAUAAUAAUAAUAAUAAUAAUAAUAAUAAUAAUAAUAAUAAUAAUAAUAAUAAUAAUAAUAAUAAUAAUGACACGUUUUGAAAAAAUAUCUUCGAUAAUAGCGUUCAAGUCUAAGCCUAUGCAUAGGCAAUUAAUAGUAUUCAAUCCCAUCCUAUCUAAAGACGCAGAACUAUCUCAAUCAGAUAACUUUAUCUAAAAGUACAUGAUACUGUUCAAUCUUAUCUGAAGACUGCACAGCAAAUUCAAUUGGAACAAGAUCUAUCAAAGUCCACCAAUUUAACAACGCUAAACAAGACUCGAAAAAUCUAUUAAUCUCAUUAAAUACUAUAUGUGAAAAGAGUUAGAUUGGGCAUAGUUUUAGAACGACCAGCAAUUUCUUACGUUAAGUCGGCCUAUUCACGGGACAUCAAGGCCCGACUUGCUACGUGACCCGUGCCAAGUCCA